RNAcentral lists this small RNA (153 nucleotides) under Chrysemys picta bellii (western painted turtle). RNAcentral's name for it is "TUC338 (ENSCPBG00000005499.1)". The record is from RNAcentral. Lineage: Eukaryota; Metazoa; Chordata; Testudines; Emydidae.
UCCAUCAUAUUGGAAACUGAAGUCCUCUACACCCAGAACAGGUACGGCACAGGCAGCAGCUAAUGUGCCUCAGCUAGGUCAACCUUGACCUGGAGGAGCUACUGGAGAGGCAAAUGAAUCUCUGCCUCCAGAUCUGCUCAAGCCUUGGAGCCU